Molecule: ribosomal RNA, 493 nt
Filed under: uncultured bacterium
Lineage: Bacteria
Description: partial 16S ribosomal RNA
Rfam family: Bacterial small subunit ribosomal RNA
Source: RNAcentral
GACGAACGCUGGCGGCGUGCUUAACACAUGCAAGUCGAACGGAAAGGCCUGCUUUCCCUUGUGGAUUGCGGGUACUCGAGUGGCGAACGGGUGAGUAACACGUGAGUGAUCUGCCCCCAACUUGGGUAUAAGCCUGGGAAACUGGGUCUAAUUCCCGAUAGGACUGCAGGGUGGUGCUUGUGGUGGAAAACGAUUUUCUAGUGGUUGGGGAUGAGCUCGCGGCCUAUCAGCUUGUUGGUGGGGUAAGGGCCUACCAAGGCGGCGACGGGUAGCCGGCCUGGGAGGGUGGACUGCCACGUUGGGACUGCGAUACGGCCCAGACUCCGACGGGAGGCAGCAGUGGGGAAUAGUGCACAAGGGGCGGAAGCCUGAGGCAGCGACGCCGCGUGGGGGAGGACGGCCUUCGGGGUGGAAACUCUUUCGACCGCUAGGAAGCCACCUGGUUGGAAGGGUGGUGACGGUAGUGGUAGAAGAAGCACCGGCUAACUACGUG